CCUACGGGAGGCAGCAGUGGGGAAUAUUGCGCAAUGGGGGAAACCCUGACGCAGCAACGCCGCGUGAGUGAGGAAGGACUUCGGUCUGUAAAGCUCUGUUAAUGUGGAAAAAAUGGUAGUUGGUCUAAUAGGCCGAUUAUUUGAUGGUACACAUAGAGGAAGCACCGGCUAACUUCGUGCCAGCAGCCGCGGUAAUACGAAGGGUGCAAGCGUUGUUCGGAUUUAUUGGGCGUAAAGCGCGCGUAGGCGGACCUGCAAGUCAGAUGUGAAAUCUCGGGGCUCAACCUCGAAACUGCGUCUGAAACUACAGGUCUAGAAUCUUGGAGGGGGAAGGGGAAUUUCUCAUGUAGGGGUAAAAAUCCGUAGAUAUGAGAAGGAACACCAGAGGCGAAGGCGCCUUCCUGGACAAGUAUUGACGCUGAAGGCGCGAAAGCGUGGGGAUCAAACAGGAUUAGAUACCCUGGUAGUCCACGCUGUAAACGAUGAAUACUAGAUAUUGCAGGAUUUGACCCCAGCAGUGUCGUAGCUAACGCGUUAAAGUAUUCCGCCUGGGAAAGUAACGGUCGCAAAGACUAAAAACUUCAAAAGGGAAAUUUGACGGGCNGAGAGNGCGAGAGACACGAGGAGGAG
RNAcentral lists this ribosomal RNA (630 nucleotides) under uncultured bacterium. RNAcentral describes it as "bacterial SSU rRNA". It matches the Rfam family "Bacterial small subunit ribosomal RNA", at positions 338 to 949 of the family's 1533-position model. The record is from RNAcentral.